This 711-nucleotide ribosomal RNA is filed under the name Apilactobacillus kunkeei. RNAcentral describes it as "bacterial SSU rRNA". It matches the Rfam family "Bacterial small subunit ribosomal RNA", at positions 382 to 1084 of the family's 1533-position model. Lineage: Bacteria; Bacillati; Bacillota; Bacilli; Lactobacillales; Lactobacillaceae. The record is from RNAcentral.
UCUGAUGGAGCACGCCGCGUGAGUGAUGAAGGGUUUUCGGAUCGUAAAACUCUGUUGUUAAAGAAGAACAAGUGUUAGAGUAACUGUUAACACUUUGACGGUAUUUAACCAGAAAGCCACGGCUAACUACGUGCCAGCAGCCGCGGUAAUACGUAGGUGGCAAGCGUUGUCCGGAUUUAUUGGGCGUAAAGCGAGCGCAGGCGGUUUUGUAAGUCUGCUGUGAAAGCCCUCAGCUCAACUGAGGAAGUGCAGUGGAAACUACAAAACUUGAGUACAGAAGAGGAAAGUGGAACUCCAUGUGUAGCGGUGAAAUGCGUAGAUAUAUGGAAGAACACCAGUGGCGAAGGCGGCUUUCUGGUCUGUUACUGACGCUGAGGCUCGAAAGCAUGGGUAGCGAACAGGAUUAGAUACCCUGGUAGUCCAUGCCGUAAACGAUGAAUACUAGGUGUUGGAGGGUUUCCGCCCUUCAGUGCCGCAGCUAACGCAUUAAGUAUUCCGCCUGGGGAGUACGACCGCAAGGUUGAAACUCAAAGGAAUUGACGGGGGCCCGCACAAGUGGUGGAGCAUGUGGUUUAAUUCGAUGCUACGCGAAGAACCUUACCAGCUCUUGACAUCUUCUGCCAACCCAAGAGAUUGGGCGUUCCCUUCGGGGACAGAAUGACAGGUGGUGCAUGGUUGUCGUCAGCUCGUGUCGUGAGAUGUUGGGUUAAG